GGAGGGGGAGUUGGAGCUGGGAGAGGGAGGAGACUCGCCACGCCACCUCAUCUUUAGGAAACUCUGAAGCCCUGGCUUCUUGUGGAAUGUAGGGCUUUGUCCGGCACUUGGAGUGUAGGGGGAGCAAAAGCCAGAAUCUCCACCCCCCCACCCCCAAGAAUGGUAAAGUCAUCAGCAGUUGGGGGAAAAAAUUCCUCAAGAAGAAAAACAGAAAGAGGAAAGUGCUGAGCUCUGAGUUCUGUCUCUCUCCAAAUUUCCCCAAAUGUUUCCCCUCAUGAGGGAGGGAGAGGACCCGUCUGGGCUCUGAAGUCUGGAACAGGAGCAGAGGCUGCCCAGGUAUAAAUGUACCAGGCCUUCCAGAGUUCACUCUGCCCAUCUACAGAAGCAGCUGAGGUGGGAGAGGACGGCAUGAGAGACAAGACCACCGUAUCAUUCCAGCCCCAAUCGGAGAGUCCCAGACAACAGCUCCAGGCUCUCAGCUGGGCCCUGUGGCCCGAGGGGGAAGGGAGCAUGGUGGGCAGGGAGGAACUGCCACCUGGAAGGGCUUGAUGGGAACCAGCUGGCUGGGGUGGGGCCUUGGGAGUGUGGGUUGCGGGGAGGGCGGGGCCGGAGGCCACAGUGGGCGGGCAACUGACAGCUCAGGGCUGGGAGUGGCUGCUGGAGGCCCCCACCUUCCCUGAGGCUGGAGUCCAGAUGCCUCCACAGCCGUCCAGGCUCUUCCAACCCGCUGACCUCAUUCCCAGCUCCCUCCCGUGCAGCCCCCCUCAAUUGUCUGCCACGUAGACUGGAGCCUCAGCAACAAUCUCCGUAGGGGUGGCUGCGAGAGGAGCCAGGCACACUUAGCCCAGGAAACCUGCUAAGCCGGAGGGAGCUAGGGAAGGUAGCUGUGACCACUCGGUGCCUCAGUUUCCCCUCCCCAAACACGAGUCCCAGUGAAUGGAGAAGAGCGAGGUGUGAAGCGGGUUACAGUUGCUAAACAAGACUCAAGGUGUUGGGGGACCCUAGAGGUCACCCCAACCAUCCCUCAGUGUCUUGGGUCUGGAGUGUAUUGCUCUCAAGAAGGGGCAGAGGUGCGUGCGCAGGCUGGGGGUGUGUGUGUGGGGUCCCUCCUUUGUCAAAGGAAGUUCCCAGAAAGUUUGAAAUCCUUUGUGAAAUCUAGGCCCCCCCCCCCCCCCCCGCCACCUCAGGCUGCAUUAGGCUACAAUUUGCCAUUUUAUAGCAGAGAUAUAGUGAGACGAAUGUAGUGUCCUCUCCCUAGGCACCUUAGGGACCUCACCGUGAGUCCCUGGACUGAGCUCUCUCUACCUCUGACCUCUGUUUCUCCCUUGCCUCCCUGUCUCAGAGUGAGUGUCCCAGUUGACCCUGACUGACCAGGAAGCCAUCCCCAUUCCUGCUGGCCCACAGAGUUCCAGGCUUGUGAGUCAUCGGGGAAUGUCUGUUCUGCCUGCAGCUCCCAAACUCUAAGCCAGGGACCCUCUUGUUUGACAGGAGUCCUGGAAGCAGAGAGGAAGUCUUGCUUAAAGGAAAUCCACAAGUGAGCCAGAGGGCUUGGCCUCUCCCAGAGACGGUCCCUGCCUAAUGGCCGGCUUCAUCCAAGGUGGGGGAGCGGCAGGUAUGGAGGGGCUUAGGACACUUUAGUGUCUGACCUGGCUGGGGGGGGGGAAGCCAUGAGCC
RNAcentral lists this long non-coding RNA (1674 nucleotides) under Rattus norvegicus (Norway rat). RNAcentral's name for it is "long non-coding RNA NONRATT005907". The record is from RNAcentral. Lineage: Eukaryota; Metazoa; Chordata; Mammalia; Rodentia; Muridae.